GUGGGGAAUAUUGGACAAUGGGCGAAAGCCUGAUCCAGCCAUGCCGCGUGUGUGAAGAAGGUCUUCGGAUUGUAAAGCACUUUAAGUUGGGAGGAAGGGCAGUAAGUUAAUACCUUGCUGUUUUGACGUUACCGACAGAAUAAGCACCGGCUAACUUCGUGCCAGCAGCCGCGGUAAUACGAAGGGUGCAAGCGUUAAUCGGAAUUACUGGGCGUAAAGCGCGCGUAGGUGGUUUUGUAAGUUGGAGGUGAAAUCCCCGGGCUCAACCUGGGAACUGCCUCCAAAACUGCAUGACUAGAGUACGGUAGAGGGUAGUGGAAUUUCCUGUGAAGCGGUGAAAUGCGUAGAUAUAGGAAGGAACACCAGUGGCGAAGGCGACUACCUGGACUGAUACUGACACUGAGGUGCGAAAGCGUGGGGAGCAAACAGGAUUAGAAACCCUGGUAGUCC
This 450-nucleotide ribosomal RNA is filed under the name uncultured bacterium. RNAcentral describes it as "partial 16S ribosomal RNA". It matches the Rfam family "Bacterial small subunit ribosomal RNA", at positions 354 to 796 of the family's 1533-position model. The record is from RNAcentral.